Molecule: ribosomal RNA, 2166 nt
Filed under: Triticum aestivum (bread wheat)
Lineage: Eukaryota; Viridiplantae; Streptophyta; Magnoliopsida; Poales; Poaceae
Description: partial small subunit ribosomal RNA
Source: RNAcentral
AUGCCACCUUUCGCGCACGACACGGAAGGCCUGCCGUUCAUGAAGCAUGGUUGUGUCUUCCGUGCGCACCGCCGGAUGAACGACAUGCUGGGACACGCUAUCCCUGAUUUAUGCCGCUUCAGCUUGGAUGAGUCUCCAUCUAAAUGUGUUAUGUAUACGUGCAACUUGUGUGGUUCUUGCACGGGCUCCAACACGCUCUUUGAGAAAAAAAAAGGUGGCACAGCUUUGGAUAUACGUGACGUGGCGGCAUCAUACAGUAGCAUCGUUCGCUAUAGUUUAGUAGUAGAAUUGAGAUUUAAUGCACUUUCUUCCCCGUCUUCCACUCUUCUUCCUCCUCUCUUCUUCUUCCUCCUCUCUUCCCCAUCGUCGGCCGCACACCAUUUCCCUCCGCUCACUGCUCGCCCGCCCGCGCUAUCUUCCUUGGUAGCUCGCAGGUACCAUAUCCCCCCGCUCACUGCUCGGCCACACGAGGAGAAGCUUCUUCACUCGCCCGCCCGAAUCCACUUCCCCGCUGGCUCGCAGGACCUGGAAUCAUACCAGCCGAUGGGUGGUGGUUUAUCGCUUGUUCAGCUGACGGUGUACCAUAUAACUGGAAUUAACCCAUGCAAGUUGAAGAAGGAUUGGCCGGUGCUGCCGGCUGGCGUCAAGUUCGAUCCCACGGAUCAGGAGCCGAUCGAGCACCUUGAGGCCAAAGUGAGUGCUGACAGCGCGAGAUCUCACCUUCUCAUCGAUUUGUUCAUACCAACCAUCGACAGCGAGCACGACAUAUGCUACACCCAUCCUGAGAAAUUUCCAGGUAUCACACUGAGUGACCUAAGCAAGCAUUUCUUCCAGCGCAAUUCCAGGGCGUUCAAAAGGGGCACGUGGACACGUCGCAAGAUACAGUCAGAGUGCGGCAUGCACGCGAUGUGGCACAACACCGGCAAUACCUUGCCGGUGAUGGUCAACGGCCGGCAGACGGGCAGCAAAAAGGUUCUGGUGCUGCACACCAACAAGAACUUCGACCAGCAGAGGACCAACUGGGUGAUGCACCAGUACCACCUCGGGGACCUGGAGCAAGAGAAGGAGCGGGAGCUGGUCCUCUGCAAGAUUUUCUACCAGACGAACACUAGGGCCGGGAGUAAAAAGAUUAUAAGUCGAGCAAGUUUCAACUGGGCUGUAGACUGCCGAGGCUUGGUUUUGUUUUUAACACGCCCAGCCCAUGACGACAACGGGGCACAAAGAUCCAGCAACGCGUUUUCACCGCGCCGCGACCCAGUCAGCCACGUAAUCGGGCCGCUGCUCCGCAGACCGAGUGAGGGAUCAUCUCGUUCCUCGGGCCGAUCAGAGGCCGAAAGCCCACGUUAUGCAACAAGGUUUUGGACGGAUCUGAUGAUCGAGAGGUUGAUGGAUCAAGCAUGCCUGAUAAGGCUGAGUGCACCAUUAGAAAAGGCAAGGGGCGCACGCAUCGCAUCGCAUCGCAUCGCCGCCGUUUGCGCGGAGCGGAUGCGCUCGUGCCCGUGCCCUGGCCCGCACGCCAGUGGCUCCGAGCACUCACCCUCGCAGCUUAAUAAUCGUCUUCAAUUAACGGUGGGCCCCAGCCGGCCUCCACCGAGCCCGCCCGGGAUCGCGGCCGCGUGUGCCGCAACGUGCCGAGCGCCGCAUGCACCAGACGUUUCCUCCCACCCACACACCCACACACGCACACCCAUUCGAUCUCUCCGCCCCUCGAAAUCCCCUCCCGGCCGCGUUCCAUGGCCGCGCGCCCCGCCUCCUCCGCCCAGGCACUCUGGUGACCGACGCCGCACGGACCGCGACCGCGACCGCGACACCCGCCGCCGGCCUCUCUGGUUCGUCGCCUCUCCCACCCCCUCCCUCUCUCUCUCUCUCCUCGCCGUUUCGGGUCGCCCCACGCGCGCGCAGUCGCUGCCCGUCCCCGCCGAUCCUUCGGUUUCCCGUCGUGUGCCCGGGUUCGGCGGCGGCCCGGGCUGUGGUUGGUACGUCCGUGCCCCGCCCGGCCGGAGGUUUCGAGUUCGCGGAGCGGGCGUCGGUUCUCCGGGCCGUGGGUGUGGUGCCGCCGUCGGUGGGUUCGUGCAGGCUUCUCUGCGCCGGAUGCUUACCCAGAUCCGCCUCCCGCGACGCAUCCCGUGGCUCGGGCUCAUCGCGUGGUGUCGUUUGGACGCCUGA